Molecule: ribosomal RNA, 498 nt
Filed under: uncultured bacterium
Lineage: Bacteria
Description: bacterial SSU rRNA
Rfam family: Bacterial small subunit ribosomal RNA
Source: RNAcentral
AUCCUGGCUCAGAUUGAACGCUGGCGGCAUGCCUUACACAUGCAAGUCGAACGGCAGCACGGGUGCUUGCACCUGGUGGCGAGUGGCGAACGGGUGAGUAAUAUAUCGGAACGUACCUUAUCGUGGGGGAUAACGUAGUGAAAAUUACGCUAAUACCGCAUACGAUCUAAGGAUGAAAGCGGGGGAUCGCAAGACCUCGCGCGAUUGGAGCGGCCGAUAUCAGAUUAGGUAGUUGGUGAGGUAAAAGCUUACCAAGCCGACGAUCUGUAGCUGGUCUGAGAGGACGACCAGCCACACUGGGACUGAGACACGGCCCAGACUCCUACGGGAGGCAGCAGUGGGGAAUUUUGGACAAUGGGCGCAAGCCUGAUCCAGCCAUGCCGCGUGCAGGAUGAAGGCCUUCGGGUUGUAAACUGCUUUUGUACGGAACGAAAAGACUCUGGUUAAUACCUGGGGUCCAUGACGGUACCGUAAGAAUAAGCACCGGCUAACUACGUG